RNAcentral lists this transfer RNA (74 nucleotides) under Ancylostoma ceylanicum. It matches the Rfam family "tRNA". From Rfam's summary of the family: Transfer RNA (tRNA) molecules are approximately 80 nucleotides in length. Their secondary structure includes four short double-helical elements and three loops (D, anti-codon, and T loops). Lineage: Eukaryota; Metazoa; Nematoda; Chromadorea; Rhabditida; Ancylostomatidae. The record is from Rfam by way of RNAcentral.
GCCGCCAUAGCUCAGUCGCUUAGAGCGUGGGUCUAAUAAGCCCAAGGUCGCAGGUUCGACCGCUGCUGGCGGCA